UGUAGUCUCGCACAGAUGCAUAUCAAUAAGCGGAGGAAAAGAAACUAACAAGGAUUCCCUUAGUAACGGCGAGUGAAGCGGGAAGAGCUCAAAUUUGAAGUCUUCAAGGUUUUACCUUGACGAAUUGUAGUUUAAAGAAGUGUUUUCUGUUACGAUCGUAAUAUAAGUUCUUUGGAAUAGGACAUCACAGAGGGUGAGAAUCCCGUCUAUGAUUGCGAUUUGUAGCUUUGUGAUACACUUUCAAAGAGUCGGGUUGUUUGGGAAUGCAGCCCGAAACGGGAGGUAAAUUUCUUCUAAGGCUAAAUAUUGGCGAGAGACCGAUAGCGAACAAGUACCGUGAGGGAAAGAUGAAAAGAACUUUGAAAGGAGAGUUAAACAGUACGUGAAAUUGUCAAAAGGGAAGCGUUUGACACCAGUGUUGUUUUCUCGAAAAUCAAUUAAAAAGAGUUAGAUUUUGUUGUGUAUUGACCUUAACAGCUUGCAUUUCAAUUUUCUUGCUUUUUUUAAUGCACUUUUCGUUUAACGAGUCAACAUCAGUUUCUUUUGUUGUAAAAAGGUCAUUGGAAGGUGGCUUUCUUUUCGGAGAAAGUGUUUAUAGCCUUUGACUCCUGCAAUCGGAGAGACUGAGGUCUGCAGCGUAGAUCCUUCGGGGUUAGAUACAUUUGUGCUAAGUUAUAGCUUUUUAUAGACAACUUGUUGACUAUGAUUAGUCUUGUAGCUUACUCGCUUAUGCUAUUUUACCUACGCUUAGGAUGUUGAAGAUGUAGCACAUCAU
This 775-nucleotide ribosomal RNA is filed under the name uncultured Neocallimastigales. RNAcentral's name for it is "partial large subunit ribosomal RNA". It matches the Rfam family "Eukaryotic large subunit ribosomal RNA", at positions 24 to 620 of the family's 3401-position model. Lineage: Eukaryota; Fungi; Neocallimastigomycota; Neocallimastigomycetes; Neocallimastigales. The record is from RNAcentral.